AGCUGAUGCACACGGUGGCUUUUCCUCCCAGUUCCACCGCAUUAGCUGUUCCCCUCUGGAGGUUUUGACCUUCACACCUAUAAGGGCCCCGAUUUUUCGGCGGCCCUCUUUU
Rhizobium mesoamericanum STM3625 is the source of this 112-nucleotide non-coding RNA. NCBI's taxonomy places the organism in Bacteria, Pseudomonadati, Pseudomonadota, Alphaproteobacteria, Hyphomicrobiales, Rhizobiaceae. The record is from Rfam.